Molecule: ribosomal RNA, 295 nt
Filed under: Flavobacterium sp. NKUCC04_CG
Lineage: Bacteria; Pseudomonadati; Bacteroidota; Flavobacteriia; Flavobacteriales; Flavobacteriaceae
Description: Bacterial large subunit ribosomal RNA
Rfam family: Bacterial large subunit ribosomal RNA
Source: Rfam by way of RNAcentral
CAUAAGCAAAAUAAGGGCGUAUGGGGGAUGCCUAGGCUCUCAGAGGCGAAGAAGGACGUGAUAAGCUGCGAAAAGCUACGGGGAUCGGCACACACGACUUGAUCCGUAGAUAUCCGAAUGGGGCAACCCACUAUGUUGAAGACAUAGUAUCCGAUAGGAGGCAAACCCGCUGAACUGAAACAUCUAAGUAGGCGGAGGAGAAGAAAACAAAAGUGAUUCCGUAAGUAGUGGCGAGCGAACGCGGAACAGCCCAAACCAAUGUUGUUACGGCAAUAUUGGGGUUGUAGGACCACGA